RNAcentral lists this long non-coding RNA (694 nucleotides) under Olea europaea (common olive). Its description in RNAcentral is "long non-coding RNA (OEUR_LNC009940)". The record is from RNAcentral. Lineage: Eukaryota; Viridiplantae; Streptophyta; Magnoliopsida; Lamiales; Oleaceae.
UAGGGUCUUCUAUACUUAUUCUUACACUAAGGUUUGAAGGCGCAGCCAAUUCAGUUUCUUUCUCCUCUCGAUUGCCUCUCAUGUUCUCUCUCUAAAAAUUUCAUCUAUUAAUCACCUAAUUUCUGAAUGUGCCCAAAAAGCUCCUCGACGUGGAUAAUUGCCUUCGUAUUAAUCUUGAGUGAUUUCAGAAGGUGUAUUGAUGCUAUUUUUAGAGAACAACUACUGUCGAUGUAGCGAGGCUUAUGUAGAAAUUAUCUUGAGUGAUAUUUUUGAGUGCCAUGAGAUGUGUAAUUUGGACAGUUUCUUGAUUCAGUUGAUAUAGUGAUUUUCUUCUGGUUUGAUGGAAGCUCAAAAGGAGAUUAGGAACGAAGUUCCGAAUCUCUUGCCUUAGGGCGAAAAUCGCGUGUUCCCUUUUGUAUUCUUAUGUUUUCAGUUUCUUGUUUCAUUAUUUUAUAAUUUUUGUUGAUUAAAUUUGGCUAACGAACAGCAGAAUGUCUCGUGUAUCAAGUUAAAAUAAGAAAACUGUGAUGCUUUAUGUAAGAAGAAUGCUUGAGCCUAUAUUUCACUUCUUGUGUUCUUACUGUUAUAAAUCAUCAUUUACGUCUCCCAAUGGCGGAACCCACUUGCCACAGACCCAUUCAUGAUGAAGGUGGAGUUGGGACUCGUCGAACUCAAUUUGCUCACAGGAACUUCG